RNAcentral lists this non-coding RNA (31 nucleotides) under Mus musculus (house mouse). Lineage: Eukaryota; Metazoa; Chordata; Mammalia; Rodentia; Muridae. The record is from RNAcentral.
UGGGAAGCCUGUUUUGUCAGGGACCUCUGCU